UGGUUAAGCCUUUUGUUUGCUCAGCAGC
RNAcentral lists this non-coding RNA (28 nucleotides) under Mus musculus (house mouse). The record is from RNAcentral. Lineage: Eukaryota; Metazoa; Chordata; Mammalia; Rodentia; Muridae.